CAGUCGCCACGGUAAUACGUAGGUCCCGAGCGUUGUCCGGAUUUAUUGGGCGUAAAGCGAGCGCAGGCGGUUUGAUAAGUCUGAAGUUAAAGGCUGUGGCUCAACCAUAGUUCGCUUUGGAAACUGUCAAACUUGAGUGCAGAAGGGGAGAGUGGAAUUCCAUGUGUAGCGGUGAAAUGCGUAGAUAUAUGGAGGAACACCGGUGGCGAAAGCGGCUCUCUGGUCUGUAACUGACGCUGAGGCUCGAAAGCGUGGGGAGCGAACAGGAUUAGAUACCCCUGUAGUCCCUGUCUCUUAUACA
This 301-nucleotide ribosomal RNA is filed under the name uncultured bacterium. RNAcentral describes it as "partial 16S ribosomal RNA". It matches the Rfam family "Bacterial small subunit ribosomal RNA", at positions 509 to 808 of the family's 1533-position model. The record is from RNAcentral.